Molecule: long non-coding RNA, 919 nt
Organism: Cloeon dipterum
Lineage: Eukaryota; Metazoa; Arthropoda; Insecta; Ephemeroptera; Baetidae
Exons: 5
Source: RefSeq, a predicted model, not a curated record
ACGGGAUCAAAUUUCAGGUUUCGUCCGUGGCGGCUUAUACUGCUCUUGAUUGUGAUGUGCCAGAGUACAGGCAUUCGAGAAAGGCAGACGUCGCCGCUUGCGUUGCUAAAUGCUUGGAUUUGGAUUUUCAGCCAGCGAAAAACUGCAGCUACAAUUCAAACACGGGAAAAGUCGUCGUGAAAUACGAAAAUUUUCAGGGAGACGGAUGUCCAAAGUGCUUUCUCGAUAGGAAAAAUGUAUGAUUUAUUUAAAAAUAAUCAAUUUUGUAAUUUUCUUUUUAGUUCCAAGUGUACAAGUCAGCUGUUGGAUUAUUCCCUUUGGUAACCCAUCCGGUGUGUGGAAAAAAGAUCGAUUACGGAAAAGUGGCAAUUCCGUCCGACUACGACAUGGCAGGAAUGAUUUGCGGGAUAAUUUGGCCCUCGGAGCGACACUGGCUCCCGAAGGACUGGGACGAGGUGCGCUGCGUCAUCGAAACGCUCCCGGAAGAAAUUCAGCGAAUAGGAAAAUUGCGAUUUGUAGCGUACAGAAGCAGCUGCAGUCAGGAAUUCUUCUUCUGCACCACCGACACCCCGCGCUCGUUGCGAAAAUCGUUCUUGUUCGAGGAGCUGAAUAACCAAACAUUGGCACCGAACGGAACGUGCGCCAUUUUUGACUUUAAAAUUAAAAAUAAGAGGGCUGUGGACGUCAAUGUCAGAGCCGCGGAUUGCAAGGAAAAGGCCUUUGCUGUGUGCGAGUUAGACGUGUAACAAAAGUUUGUACUAGCAGUUCACUUAAAUGAUUGAAGAAAGAAAAUUUAAAAUAAAUAAUGAAUAUUUUUUUCAGUGAUUGCGUAUCUUGAUUAUGGAAGUGCAAAGGGUUCAUCUUAAAAAAAUGCAAAGAUGGUUUUGUGAAAUUCUUCAACUUGUUUUAGCAAAAUGAA